GAUCUUACAAAGAGAUUGGGAGACAGCCUUGAGGGAUACAAGAAACAGUGCCAAGCAGGCACAUUACUGAAUCCCUGCAAGGCAUCCCGAGGUGUGUUUAUGCCCCAGGCUUGCUGGCCACAGUCCAUUCCAUUUACAGAAGCUGAAUUAAACAAUAACUACCGCAUUGCAAAAAGAAGAAGGAAAAAAAAAAAGGUGAGCGUCAAAGGAGAUGCCUGAGAGCUUUGUUAGGGCCAAGAAAAACCCUGUUGCAGUUGUCAGAGCUUGUUGAUGUUGCAGAGAACGGCACUUUUUUUUUUUUUCUGCUGGAUUUUGUGGUUCUGCCUUAGGAAAGAAAGUAAAAUAGAACGGAAGAACAAAGUCCUACUCUAUAAAUCAGCAGCUGCUCCUUGCCAGAUCAAAGGAGUGACAUUUUUGCUCCUGGACUACUUGUCCACUUUAGGUGCUUGACAGACAGCUAACAGCUGGCCUGUUACACAGCAUAGGAGAGUUGGGCUACAUCUUUUUCAGAGUAGAUGACAAGCUAAUCAGUGAUAUCCAUAGCACAGGACAUGUGAGUGCACCUUGAUCUCUUCAGACAUAUCCAGUACAUAAUUGCUAAACACCUUUAUGCAUUUUUGGCAAGUUGCUACUUAGGUAGUUUCCACUGAAAAGUAAGGAGGAGAAUUAAUACCUUAAUCUAAUUUGAUCAGGGGAGCUAAACAGAUGUUAAAUUUGUUGACAACUCUCCUUUUCAGGUCAAUUUAGAAUGGGCUAAAAAAUGUCACCAUGAAACAGUUAAAAAUCUGCGUAAGUCACUUUAAUGUGGCAUUAUUAAACUUUACUUUCUUUUGAAAAAGUUACCUAAAAUUAGGCUUCUCAAGUCCUACGUCAGAAGCUGGAUAAGCUGAUUGUGUUUUCAAAACUGCAGGAUCCUCAUUAGUUCUGAAAGUCUUGUCCUCUGAUAAAUUAUAUGAUAAAUUAACACAUCUUUAAGUUCAUGAGUAACUUAAGAUUUUAUAGGAGGUCUGGUAUCUGCCUUUAACAUGGAUGUCUGAGUGCCAGCAAAUCAAAGUGCAUGCCAAAUUAGCUAAAACUGCAUUUAGCAUCUCCGCAAGAUAUAUGUAUACAAACCUGGAAUUUUAAUGUCAGUAGUAAAAAUCUCCAAGUAAUUCAGUUUCUAGUUGAUUCCCAUUUGCAAUAAAUCAAGUACAGCAUGAGGUUAUAUACUACAACUUAUGUCUAUUGACUUUGCAUUUUUUAUCUUUAAGAUAUGAAUAGCUAAGGAAGUAUGUCUGUUUGUCUCCUCCCUUCUUUCAAGAAUCUUUAAAAGAUCAUUUUUACGGUGCAUGAUAAAUAACUGCGUAUGAAUGGCAUUCUUAAAGAGUAACAGGCAUUGCUUAAGAAAUCAUGACCUGCUGGGAUGUUUUGUUAUGUGGCUUCAGGUGUGAUUACAUUCACUGAAUAGUGUUUAUUAUCAGCUGGAAUUCCAAGGGGAAUAAAGAAUGAUACUUUUCCACCAAAGUUAAGGGGUUUUGAAAGCUUGUAAAGAAAUCUGUGCCUAUCCUUUUGUGUGUGUGCGUGCCUGUAGCAGGAAUCCCUCAUUAAGCUUCAUGCUAACAGAUUUAUUCUUGCAACUGGCUCUCACUCCCCGCGGGUUUCAUGGUGUAUUUGCCGCCCAAGGCAGCGCGAGCCCCUAUACGUUUCCACCAUGUAAAAAACCCAGCUCGGUCAUAGAACUAACUCCCGUUUUGGGUACAAAACCCGAGGCAGAAGCAGGGGGACACCCAGAGAAAACCACCACAUCCCUGAGGUGCGCACACCCAUCCCGGGGGAACCACUGCUCUCAGGCAGCCAGAGAAGGGCCUGUCACUGCUGCCGCCCCAGGCUGCCCCAAACCGCCCCAGACCGCCCCAGGCUGCCCCGCUGGCACCUGCCCAUGCCCCGCCCCCCGGGAGCAUGCCCCACCCUGCCCAUUGGGCACCUGCCCAGGCCCCGCCCCUGCCGGGCCCAGGCCCCGCCCCCAGCACCCCGGAAGCAGUGCUGCGCCUCCACUUCCUGGCCCAGCGCUGCAGCAAUGGCGGGAGGGCUUCCCCUGGGCCGGUGGCGGCAGGCCCGUGGGUCAGGCUGGCUUGCAGCUGGGAGUAGUGUCUGCUCUUUUACCGAGAUUGAUAAAUACUGACCCCGAGCACAAACGGGCACUGCGUAUGGCGCUGGUGGCUCUGAGGCGAUGGCAGAGGGGGCAGUAGCCUGCAGGCCGCGAGGGACGCAGGAGGGCCAUGGCCUCCCAGCAUCGGAAAGCAGUCAGGAGAGGUGGCAGCAAGGGACGUGAAAAUCCCCAGCAAGUCCUGUCAUCUCUCAGGACUCACUCCUCCGUCUGUCUUCUGUUUUAUGAAAAAGGUUGCGUUGUCUUGCCACCAGACCCCAAGGCAAGAUACCAAUAUGGUCCAUGUGUACAAACACCUGACGCAGGGAAUAAACAAGUGUAACUCCACGUCGUUUGCAGUUUCAGCGUACGUGCUACCCUGUGAAACACAUCAGAUUCUUGGCAGAAGCCAAAUCAUUUUCCUGUGCUUUAAAAAGGUAACCUGGUAACGAAGAGUUACAUGUUUAAAGAUACGUAUUUUCUCGAAGGUGAACAGAUGACAGCAUUGCCAAUUCUCAUGAUUUUAUCACAAGGCUCAAGUUAUUUCAUGUUUAACUUAAAGUCCCAGCUCCAGGAGACAAUGAUUAUGUGAAAAUCUUUUCGAGUAACUUUCUAGAUUUUGUGACUGAGGAGCUUAAAAAAAUGUGACAUUACAACUCAAAAACC
Molecule: long non-coding RNA, 2791 nt
Organism: Dromaius novaehollandiae (emu)
Lineage: Eukaryota; Metazoa; Chordata; Aves; Casuariiformes; Dromaiidae
Exons: 2
Source: RefSeq, a predicted model, not a curated record